GGCAAGCAAUCAAUACUUGAAUUACUAUGUCAACGAAAAAUUCAGUGUCAAGGAUGAGUUUUGAUUACUGUGUACUUUUUCUUUGCAGUCGGGAAAGGCAAACCUUGGGGAAGAUCUUUACAGUAACAUGACUGCAGAAUCACCCACGGUAGAAGAGGUGCUUCAUGCCCUCAAUUUAAAAUCUGAACAUAGAGCCCUUGAAGUGAUUAACAGGUUGGAGGCAGCAGCACUUGCAUGGAAACAUAGAAUGUUAGAAAAACGCAACUAUGAAUCUCCAAUUCAUACAUCAUUGUCUUUUCUAAAGGAUUCAGAAUCUGAUAUGGAUAAAAUGGAAUACUUGUUAAACCAGACUGAAAGUCUUGUCCAGGAAAUUAAAGCCAGAUUCCCAAAACUUCCCCAAUCGUUCCUGGAUGUCACAAAAAUCCAAUAUGGCAAGGUAUGUACAGUUUCAUUUAUAUCGCACAAGAAACAACCUCAAUGUCAGAAAUAUCACUUCUUGAUGUUCAGUGUUUUCAUUCUUCCAUAGUAGUAGUCAGCUAUUGAAUGAUCAGAUGCCCUAAUAAUUCAGCUUAAUGUGUUUACAUGCUUACAGGAUGUUGGUCAGGCAAUCCUAGAGGCUUAUUCUCGGGUUCUUGCAAACUUAGCAUUCAGCAUACUCAGUAGGAUAGGAGAUGUUCUGCAGGAAGAAGUUUUAAGUAAUCCAAAUUCCCCUGCUGCAACAUUUAACUUUCCUGGAGUAAACCAUGUCAAUCAAAGAAUGCCGAGUCAGCAUGUGAGACACUUUCUCAUUAAUCAAAUGAAUAUUGUAGAUGGCCGGUUUCGCGAGCCCAACACUGUCAAGUAUAGCAAAUAUGAGUCCUGGGACGAUAAACACAAAAGAAUGGCAAGUCAGCAUGUGAGACACUCUCUCAUUGAUCAAAUGAAUAUUGUAGAUGGCCGGUUUCGCGAGCCCAACACUGUCAAGUAUAGCAAAUACGAGUCCUGGGACGAUAAACACAAAAUUAGCAUUGUCCAAGGCCAUAACAAAUCUUGCAGGUAUGUAGUACUACUUUUUACUAGGAGAGUAUGAAGUAAUAUACGCUUAAUUUUUUUAAACUGUUGCAAACGAGUCCAUCUAAAACUUCAGAAUCCCUCGAACUUGAGACCUCCGCCAAACCUAGCUCUGAUAUCAUGUUAGAUAACCAGUCCAUCUAAAACUUUAAGGUGUUAUAUCAAUAGAAACAUGAGAUGAAUAUUUAAAUUUGCAGCAUUGGUUUUCGGAGAGCUAUGGAAACUGGAACCUUUGUCUGAGGAGAGGAAGAAAAAGUGGCGACAAGAAAUGGACUGGAUACUAUCGCCUACUAACUAUAUGAUCGAGCUGGUUCCAGCUAAACAACAUAGCAUCAAUGGCCAGACCAUGGAGGUAUAUAUAUCUUGUAUCGGAAUAGCUAUGAGCUAAAAUACCAUGUCGGACUAAUAACUCUCUUGAAAUUAUAAGGUGUUAGUAGAAGCCACCAAAUAGAUCGUAUAAACACUUACAUAUUGUCACUGAAGCAGAUAAUGACACCUAAGGCUCGAGCUGACAUCCAUAUGAAUCUUCCAGCACUUCAGAAGUUGGACUCCAUGCUCAUUGUAAGGUGUCUCCAGCCUAUCAUCAGAAUAACCUGGAGUAAACCUUAACUAAUUUUAAGCAUAUUGAAUUCACAGGAAACGUUGGAUUCUAUGGUUGGCACUGAAUUUUGGUACGUAGAAGGGGGUAGCCGAGCAGAAGGAAGGAGCAAUAGUUCUAGGCAAAGCAAUAGAUGGUGGCUUCCGUCACCAAAAGUACCUGCAGCAGGGCUAUCAGAUACUGAAAGGAAGAAAUUGCUAAAUCAGGGUAAAGUAGUUCAUCAAGUUUUCAAGGCUGCAAAAUCCAUUAAUAAAAAUGUCUUGCUCGAGAUGUCUGUUCCUGAUUUUAUACGGGAGGCACUUCCUAAGGCAAGCAAUCAAUACUUGAAUUACUAUGUCAACGAAAAAUUCAGUGUCAAGGAUGAGUUUUGAUUACUGUGUACUUUUUCUUUGCAGUCGGGAAAGGCAAACCUUGGGGAAGAUCUUUACAGUAACAUGACUGCAGAAUCACCCACGGUAGAAGAGGUGCUUCAUGCCCUCAAUUUAAAAUCUGAACAUAGAGCCCUUGAAGUGAUUAACAGGUUGGAGGCAGCAGCACUUGCAUGGAAACAUAGAAUGUUAGAAAAACGCAACUAUGAAUCUCCAAUUCAUACAUCAUUGUCUUUUCUAAAGGAUUCAGAAUCUGAUAUGGAUAAAAUGGAAUACUUGUUAAACCAGACUGAAAGUCUUGUCCAGGAAAUUAAAGCCAGAUUCCCAAAACUUCCCCAAUCGUUCCUGGAUGUCACAAAAAUCCAAUAUGGCAAGGUAUGUACAGUUUCAUUUAUAUCGCACAAGAAACAACCUCAAUGUCAGAAAUAUCACUUCUUGAUGUUCAGUGUUUUCAUUCUUCCAUAGUAGUAGUCAGCUAUUGAAUGAUCAGAUGCCCUAAUAAUUCAGCUUAAUGUGUUUACAUGCUUACAGGAUGUUGGUCAGGCAAUCCUAGAGGCUUAUUCUCGGGUUCUUGCAAACUUAGCAUUCAGCAUACUCAGUAGGAUAGGAGAUGUUCUGCAGGAAGAAGUUUUAAGUAAUCCAAAUUCCCCUGCUGCAACAUUUAACUUUCCUGGAGUAAACCAUGUCAAUCAAAGAAUGCCGAGUCAGCAUGUGAGACACUUUCUCAUUAAUCAAAUGAAUAUUGUAGAUGGCCGGUUUCGCGAGCCCAACACUGUCAAGUAUAGCAAAUAUGAGUCCUGGGACGAUAAACACAAAAGAAUGGCAAGUCAGCAUGUGAGACACUCUCUCAUUGAUCAAAUGAAUAUUGUAGAUGGCCGGUUUCGCGAGCCCAACACUGUCAAGUAUAGCAAAUACGAGUCCUGGGACGAUAAACACAAAACAAGUUUAGUGACAGGCACACCUGGCCAGAGCAGAGUAUGGUGCUUAGGCAGAGAGGCAUGUGGCAGUCUUUCAACGCUUUCCCCCGAAAGUUCCCCCUGAUGCCGCACUCAUAUAUGUUGUAAAUACACAUUAUUACAAGAGGUGGUUUAGGAAGUCACCAAAUAUGGCGUAGCAGAAUUUUCAGUAUAAACAGAGGGACAGAUCUCAUGACCCUCUAGCUCUAGGUAAGAACGUGUUUUGUGAACAUUUAAUAGUUAAAGAAUUUACUUAAUAUUCAAUAUUCAUAUAAUCUUUUAGAUUUUUAACACGCUGGGAUAUUUCAUGGAAUAGCCUUUGAGAUAUACUGAAACAUCUCUAUAUUAAUGGUGCACCUUAUUACCGUCUCCAAAAGUAAGACAUAAGACAUACAGGCAUACACAACUUGAUUUGGUUAGUUAGUAUGUAAUAAUUCAGGCACAAGCUGAUACCAAAUUAGCAAAGUUUAAUCUGCAUGCAUGGAAUUUCAAUAUAUAAAUAAGUUCAAGACAGAGGGACGCGUUAAGGGUGAGUACCUGUAGCACUACUAAAGCAAAGUGAUAGUAAUGGAUUCAUUUACAUGAUAAAAAGGUAGCAACAUGCUGAAACUAUGUAUUAGUCAUCUGAUUGCACAGCAAAAAUGUACACUGUCAAUUCCAAAAUCCACGGAUCUGACAUGGAACUUGUAUGUUCAUUGUCAAUGGAGACGAGUAGUGAACUGACCUUCCCUUGGACAUAUAGCCUUCAAGGGAAAACUAGUAUGUUGGUGUAGCAUGGCGAGCAACGAAAGACUCCACAAGUGGGUUUACAAGCUGUGGUGCUUCAUCCUUCAUAAUACAAAAUGAAGAGAAAGGAUUUACAAGAUGUGGUGUUUCAUCCAUCAUAAUACAAAAUGAAGAGAAACAAAUUAUAACGGUGAUUUCCUGACGCCCUUCGGAUAAGUUGAGGAAGAGAUGAAGUGGGAAUAAUAAAGUUCUUAUGAGUUAAUUUCUGAUGCUAAAUGUUAUCAUACUCAUAGGGAUUCCUGCGACAUGACAGUCUAAUGCCAUUAAAAAAAAAUCUUCACCGACCAUUUGCUUGGCCAAGUUAUUAACCAUAUUUUAAAGCAAUAAUGUAAUGAACUAACAAUUACAUUAGAUGAUGAUAUAAAAUAGAAAAGCUAAAUGACGUCCAUGUGUGCGGUUGCUUGUGGGGAUCGGGAAGGGGGAAUUCAUGUGUGAGAUAGAACAAGAGAUAGAAACCUGAGGGCAGUGGCCAACAUUAGGUAGAACAACAAAAUCUUCGACAGUAUCAAAAUCUCCAUAGGCUCUUCCAAGUUGGAUUGGUUCCCAUGGAUCUUUGUCACCCCAUGCAACCAGAACAGGACACUACAAAAAGGAGAGAAGGGAAAGAAGAGACAUACUUUGUCAACUGCAAGAAAUACAUUACAUUUUGAAGUGCAACAGAACUACAAUAUGGAUGUGUCGAAUUGAGAUAUAACCUUCACUUGAGGCAGGAGCUCCUCAGGAAGAGGGCCAUCUGAAUAACAGAUGAACUCGAGAAAAACGUCCACAGCACCUGGCUCAAGUCCAGGAAGAAGUAUGGCCUGGACUAAUUCGUCUGUCACUUGAGAAGUGUCAUGGUAACACUGGAAAACGAGAGGUUUCAGUUUUUACUAGUUCUAUUAUGCAAUCUUUGAAUGAUAGCUGCUUCACUGCAAUCUAUAUCUUUCUUAUCAUGGCAGUUGACAUUCAAAUUCAAAAGAUUAAAGCAUUUAUCCGGUGUUAACAAUACCUGGCAAAGGAUAUUCUUCACAGAAUCUGGGGUGGCAACAGAUUUGAAGAAGUAUUUUCCCAAUGCAGUAUUUCUGACCACACAUAACAAAAACCUUUGAAUGGUGAGCAUAAAAAACCUAACACCAGCCGGUGAUCAACUAUAGUUUGUAGCAUACCUUAGGAGAUUCUGAAAUGCUCGAAUCAGAGGCCUUCCAAACCAUGGCUGCUUAGUUAUAUGAAGCAUUCGAAGAGAUAUAUUAAGCAGGAGAAUGCCUUUACAGAUCCGUGGCUCCAUAAUCGCUGCUUGAAGGCCAACAAGUCCUACACACAAUCAAUUAAAAUUCUCAAAUCUGAUUUUACAUGUGUGAGCUAAAACAGUACAACAACAAUAAAAAUAACAUUCAGAGUGAGGAGCGUCUGCUUUUACUUAAAAUAAAAUUGCUUAAAUAUAGUUAUAUUCAGAUUUGCACAAUCAUGGAAGGUUAAUCACCUCCGAUAGAAUUGCAUAUGAAGAAUGCUUCAUCUUUAACCACAUCAGUGCAAAAAUCAUUCAAUUGUGCACCCCAUGUCUCAAAGGUAUAGAACGGGUCACUUCCAAAAUCACUAGGAUUGGGUUUCUCUGAAUACCCAUAACCAAUAAGAUCAAUUGCAUAUACUCUCUGUGACUGUGCAAGAACCGGUAUAUUUUUCCUCCAGUGAUCACUGUUAGAAAACAAAGUAAAUACCGAGUGGAAACAGCUCUAAUCCUUAUGCUUGUAUAAGGGAAAAAAAGAAGCUAAAUGGUUAAUAAUCCCUUUUAAGUCUAGAAUUAGUGUAGCUCAAUUAUCAGUCCAAGCGUCCCUAAAUUUACAAAACCUCAUGGCAACAUAUAUACAAAGAAACGUGUAAUGGUGAUCGGCACAUUCAUAUAUUAAUAUUUUAAAGAGGCAAAUGUGAGUGUUUUAAACCUGUUUGCUCCAAACCCGUGAACUAAAACCAAUGCUGGUCCACUGCUCCCAGCACACUGAUAGCGAAUCGAAUAACCCUUCCAUUUCCAAAUACUAGAACCAUACAAAAAUAAGUUAUACACCCACCAAAAACACAAACAAAUUAAACCCUUAAAUUAGUAUUAAAACAUAGCAAUUCACAUUAAACAUUCUGUUAAACCAACAAUCUCAAUCUCAAACUCGAAAACCAUAACAUUCUUAAACUAUUCUCGCACUACUACAAAAGUGUAAUAAUACUGACUCACUAACACAUAAUUAAGUCGAGGUGCACGCAAACUGACCCGAACACGGAAUAUAACCAAAAAAAAAAA
RNAcentral lists this long non-coding RNA (6024 nucleotides) under Daucus carota (carrot). RNAcentral's name for it is "long non-coding RNA (DCAR_LNC000839)". The record is from RNAcentral. Lineage: Eukaryota; Viridiplantae; Streptophyta; Magnoliopsida; Apiales; Apiaceae.